RNAcentral lists this ribosomal RNA (388 nucleotides) under Ophidiomyces ophidiicola. Its description in RNAcentral is "partial large subunit ribosomal RNA". It matches the Rfam family "Eukaryotic large subunit ribosomal RNA", at positions 262 to 667 of the family's 3401-position model. Lineage: Eukaryota; Fungi; Ascomycota; Eurotiomycetes; Onygenales; Onygenaceae. The record is from RNAcentral.
GAGUCGAGUUGUUUGGGAAUGCAGCUCUAAGUGGGUGGUAAAUUUCAUCUAAAGCUAAAUAUUGGCCGGAGACCGAUAGCGCACAAGUAGAGUGAUCGAAAGGUUAAAAGCACCUUGAAAAGGGAGUUAAAUAGCACGUGAAAUUGUUGAAAGGGAAGCGCUUGCAACCAGACUCGGUUCCGGGGGCUCAGCGGGCAUGCGUGCCCGUGUACUCCCCCGUCUCCGGGCCAGCAUCAGUUCGAGCGGCCGGUCAAAGGCCCCGGGAACGUAUCAUCCUCCGGGAUGCCUUAUAGCCCGGGGUGCAAUGCGGCCAGCUCGGACUGAGGAACGCGCCUCGGCACGGAUGCUGGCAUAAUGGUUGUAAGCGGCCCGUCUUGAAACACGGACC